This 385-nucleotide unclassified non-coding RNA is filed under the name uncultured Phycisphaerae bacterium. RNAcentral describes it as "contains 16S-23S intergenic spacer region". The record is from RNAcentral. Lineage: Bacteria; Pseudomonadati; Planctomycetota; Phycisphaerae.
UCCGGCUUAACGCCGGCAGUCUCGUUAGAGUUCCCGGCAUGACCCGCUGGCAACUAACGAUAAGGGUUUCGCUCGUUAAGGGACUUAACCCGACACUUCACAGCACGAGCUGACGACAGCCAUGCAGCACCUGUACACGUUUCACCCGAAGGCAGCCGGCUCCACUUUCAUGGACGGCAUCCGUGCAUGUCAAACCCAGGUAAGGUUCUUCGCGUUGCUUCGAAUUGAUCCACAUGCUCCACCGCUUGUGUGAGCCCCCGUCAAUUCCUUUGAGUUUUAGCCUUGCGGCCGUACUCCCCAGGCGGCGCACUUAUCGUUUUUAUUUCGGCUCGAAAACCGUCAGAGAUCCUCGAACCUAGUGCGCAUCGUUUACGGCGUAGACUAC